This 107-nucleotide transfer RNA is filed under the name Cercospora zeae-maydis SCOH1-5. It matches the Rfam family "tRNA". From Rfam's summary of the family: Transfer RNA (tRNA) molecules are approximately 80 nucleotides in length. Their secondary structure includes four short double-helical elements and three loops (D, anti-codon, and T loops). Further hydrogen bonds mediate the characteristic L-shaped molecular structure. tRNAs have two regions of fundamental functional importance: the anti-codon, which is responsible for specific mRNA codon recognition, and the 3' end, to which the tRNAs corresponding amino acid is attached (by aminoacyl-tRNA synthetases). tRNAs cope with the degeneracy of the genetic code in two manners: having more than one tRNA (with a specific anti-codon) for a particular amino acid; and 'wobble' base-pairing, i.e. permitting non-standard base-pairing at the 3rd anti-codon position. Lineage: Eukaryota; Fungi; Ascomycota; Dothideomycetes; Mycosphaerellales; Mycosphaerellaceae. The record is from Rfam by way of RNAcentral.
GGCGAAGUAGCAAAGUGGUUACUGCGAUUGACUAGAAUGGCGUGCAUUGCAUGGUCAUCCGAUAUCAAUUCCCUUCGGGGGCGUAGGUUCGAAUCCUGCCUUCGUCG